ACUAUCGAGAUUGGAUAAUUCCGAUAAUCCACGAGUAACUAUGUAAGAAUCUGUUUCUCUAAUGAUUAAACAGAUUUUAUGUUAUACGAAAAUCCCCUUCAAGUGCCUUUCACAUUCCAUGAGGUUGUCAAUUUCAUUAACACCUGUUAGCAUAUUUUGAUUCAUCCAGUUAGCUAAAAAGGUUAUGACCUUUAAAACCAUCCAAUGAUCUUUUGAGAUCACUGGCAACCACACGUUGAUUAAAUUUUUUUAUACAAUGGGUUCAAAAAUUUUUAUUGGUCUAAUGCUUCUUUCUCAAAACGCAAGCACAAGGAUGUCAUCUGAUGAAAGUAUUUAAUUUAUGGGAAUUAUGUUGUUUUAAAUUUUAGCUACAAAGUCCCUUUAUACAGUGGCUUCAUAAUAAUUUGUUGGGUACUAUUUUUUUUUCUUUUAAGGGCGUACUUAGGUGAUCUAAGGUAAAAUUAAAUAAAUCAAGAAUUCAAAAUUAAUACUUUAAGCUGGAAGAGUAUUAGUUAAGGAUCAAAACAAGCUAACAAUAUUGAUAGGUCAUAGAGCUCCUUUUCGAGAUAUUUGAUUUAUAAAAUAUGGCGGGAAAAGGCGGACUCAGACUUUUAUCUUAUAUUUGCAUUGGUAUUAUUUGGGUCUCAAAUCAAAAGAAAGAAAAUCAAGAAUCUGCUUAAAUUUUGUCAAAUGACCUUUUAUGAGCUCUUUAGUCUUAUGUUAAAAGAUAAAUAGUUGUCAUGGGUCAAAAUAUUUUACCUUGCAUCGUAUAGAAAAACACUGAGGAGUCUGAACAUUUGACACUUAUUCCAAAACCUCACCUAAGUACAUCCUUAAUGACAUAGUUUUGAAAAGCUUGUAUAUAUGGAAUUGUCUUCCCCGCUAAAAUGCAAACUUUUCAACAGACUUUUAAUAGUCUGUACAUAUGUUGUGCAGGGUUAGGAGAGGGUAGAUACAUCAAGAUUGAUUAGCAGAAGUUCCAAAGGAAUCUAAAGGAGUAAGUUUGGUAAGGGCCAUAUUUGGCCCCAAUUAUAAAGUUUAUAGUUACAAGACAAUAAAUGUUUCAAGUUGCCUUAAAGACAUGUGAGAAAGUUAAAUCUGUUUUUGUCAAAGUUUAAUUCUAACACGUUGAUUUUAACAUCCCAAAAAGAUCAAAAUAUGGGAUAUUUGUGAAAUUUGACAAAACCAGCUGGAUUUCAAUCAAAUUAAGGAUCAGGAAACAUAGAGCGCAGGCGUCGACAAACUUAAUAUUCAAAUAAGACAUGUGAAAUGUCUUCACAAACAUUAUAUUAAAAGAUCUUUGUUGUCGACGUAUGCGCUCUAUGUUUCCUGUCCCCAAUAAUCUAUGGAAAUUUAUCCAUUU
RNAcentral lists this long non-coding RNA (1363 nucleotides) under Mytilus galloprovincialis (Mediterranean mussel). Lineage: Eukaryota; Metazoa; Mollusca; Bivalvia; Mytilida; Mytilidae. The record is from RNAcentral.